RNAcentral lists this ribosomal RNA (505 nucleotides) under uncultured bacterium. Its description in RNAcentral is "bacterial SSU rRNA". It matches the Rfam family "Bacterial small subunit ribosomal RNA", at positions 19 to 518 of the family's 1533-position model. The record is from RNAcentral.
CUGGCUCAGGAUGAACGCUAGCGACAGGCCUAACACAUGCAAGUCGAGGGGCAGCACAAGGAGUAAUCUGAGGUGGCGACCGGCGCACGGGUGAGUAACACGUAUGCAACCUGGCUGUAAGAGGGGAAUAACCCGGAGAAAUCCGGACUAAUACCGCAUAAUACUUAGAAUCCGCAUGGAUUUUAAGUUAAACAUUUAUGGCUUACAGAUGGGCAUGCGUAUGAUUAGCUGGUUGGAGAGGUGACGGCUCCCCAAGGCAACGAUCAUUAGGGGUUCUGAGAGGAAGGUCCCCCACACUGGUACUGAGACACGGACCAGACUCCUACGGGAGGCAGCAGUGAGGAAUAUCGGUCAAUGGACGCAAGUCUGAACCAAGCCAAGUCGCGUGAAGGAAGAAUGUCCUAUGGAUUGUAAACUUCUUUUGAAGGGGAAUAAAGUACGGUACGUGUACCGUUUUGUAUGUACCCUUCGAAUAAGGAUCGGCUAACUCCGUGCCAGCCGCGGC